RNAcentral lists this ribosomal RNA (477 nucleotides) under Triticum aestivum (bread wheat). Its description in RNAcentral is "partial small subunit ribosomal RNA". Lineage: Eukaryota; Viridiplantae; Streptophyta; Magnoliopsida; Poales; Poaceae. The record is from RNAcentral.
AUGAAGGAAUUGGGCUUGAGGGAGGAGGACCUGGACGAUGUGGUGUUUGACGAGAAGGAAGCCCCGCCGGCGGCUGCUCGUUGGAUUGCUCUCGUCAAGGUUCACACCAUCAAAUCGUAUAGUCAAUUUUGGUUCUACCGAAACAUGCGGGCAGCCUGGGAUCUAGCCCAAGAGGUGAAGUUCAAACCCUUGGAGGAGAAUCUCUACACGGUACAGUUCUCAUGUUUGGGUGAUUGGGAAAGAGUCACACAAGAGGGCCCUAGGCACUUUCGGGGGGAUGAUGUGAUCCUCAAGCCAUAUGAUGGUGUGGCGAAGCCCUCGACAGUUCAACUGGAUAGCAUUGAGAUAUGGGCACAAAUCCAUGAUGUACCACCACUAUAUGCAUAUCUGGUUCCAUCUCUUGCGGCAAGGGUGGGAGAAGUGCUCUUUGCUGAACCUAUAUCACAGGAUUUUGUUGGGAAUUUUCAUCGUGUGUGA